GGGGGUGAGGCUGUUGCUCAGUGGAAGAGCCUUUGCUUGGCAUGCAGAAAGGUCCUGGUUCAAUCCCUACCACCUCCA
This 78-nucleotide transfer RNA is filed under the name Sphaerodactylus townsendi. Its description in RNAcentral is "tRNA-Ala". Lineage: Eukaryota; Metazoa; Chordata; Lepidosauria; Squamata; Sphaerodactylidae. The record is from RNAcentral.